Molecule: transfer RNA, 93 nt
Filed under: Chloroflexota bacterium
Lineage: Bacteria; Bacillati; Chloroflexota
Also listed under: 3 other names
Description: Chloroflexi bacterium tRNA-Ser
Rfam family: tRNA
About the family: Transfer RNA (tRNA) molecules are approximately 80 nucleotides in length. Their secondary structure includes four short double-helical elements and three loops (D, anti-codon, and T loops).
Source: RNAcentral
GGGGAGGUGGCUGAGAGGCUGAAAGCGCCCGCCUGCUAAGCGGGUGAGGGAUGUUAAGUUCCUCCGGGGGUUCGAAUCCCCCCCUUCCCGCCA